GUAUCCCACCUGGGGAGUACGUUCGCAAGAAUGAAACUCAAAGGAAUUGACGGGGGCCCGCACAAGCGGUGGAGCAUGUGGUUUAAUUCGAUGAUACGCGAGGAACCUUACCAGGGCUUAAAUGUAGAUUGACAGAUUUGGAAACAGAUUUUUCUUCGGACAAUUUACAAGGUGCUGCAUGGUUGUCGUCAGCUCGUGCCGUGAGGUGUCAGGUUAAGUCCUAUAACGAGCGCAACCCCUAUUGUUAGUUACCAGCGCGUUAAGGCGGGGACUCUAGCAAGACUGCCGGUGCAAACCGUGAGGAAGGUGGGGAUGACGUCAAAUCAUCACGGCCCUUACGUCCUGGGCUACACACGUGCUACAAUGGCAAGUACAGAAAGCAGCUACCUGGCAACAGGAUGCGAAUCUCCAAAGCUUGUCUCAGUUCGGAUUGGAGUCUGCAACUCGACUCUAUGAAGCUGGAAUCGCUAGUAAUCGGAUAUCAGCCAUGAUCCGGUGAAUACGUUCCCGGGCCUUGUACACACCGCCCGUCAAGCCAUGGAAGCUGGGGGUACCUGAAGUCGGUGACCGC
This 571-nucleotide ribosomal RNA is filed under the name Myroides profundi. RNAcentral describes it as "bacterial SSU rRNA". It matches the Rfam family "Bacterial small subunit ribosomal RNA", at positions 864 to 1437 of the family's 1533-position model. Lineage: Bacteria; Pseudomonadati; Bacteroidota; Flavobacteriia; Flavobacteriales; Flavobacteriaceae. The record is from RNAcentral.